AGAGUUUGAUCCUGGCUCAGGAUGAACGCUGACAGAAUGCUUAACACAUGCAAGUCGACUCGAGUCUUCGGACUUGGGUGGCGCACGGGUGAGUAACGCGUAAAGAACUUGCCUCUUAGACUGGGACAACAUCUGGAAACGGAUGCUAAUACCGGAUAUUAUGGUUUCUUCGCAUGGAGGAAUCAUGAAAGCUAGAUGCGCUAAGAGAGAGCUUUGCGUCCCAUUAGCUGGUUGGUGAGGUAACGGCCCACCAAGGCAAUGAUGGGUAGCCGGCCUGAGAGGGUGAACGGCCACAAGGGGACUGAGACACGGCCCUUACUCCUACGGGAGGCAGCAGUGGGGAAUAUUGGACAAUGGACCACAAGUCUGAUCCAGCAAUUCUGUGUGCACGAUGACGUUUUUCGGAAUGUAAAGUGCUUUCAGUCGGGAAGAAGUCAGUAACGGUACCGACAGAAGAAGCGACGGCUAAAUACGUGCCAGCAGCCGCGGUAAUACGUAUGUCGCAAGCGUUAUCCGGAUUUAUUGGGCGUAAAGCGCGUCUAGGCGGCAAGGAAAGUCUGAUGUGAAAAUGCGGAGCUCAACUCCGUAUGGCGUUGGAAACUGCCUUACUAGAGUACUGGAGAGGUAGGCGGAACUACAAGUGUAGAGGUGAAAUUCGUAGAUAUUUGUAGGAAUGCCGAUGGGGAAGCCAGCCUACUGGACAGAUACUGACGCUAAAGCGCGAAAGCGUGGGUAGCAAACAGGAUUAGAUACCCUGGUAGUCCACGCUGUAAACGAUGAUUACUAGGUGUUGGGGGUCAAACCUCAGCGCCCAAGCUAACGCGAUAAGUAAUCCGCCUGGGGAGUACGUACGCAAGUAUGAAACUCAAAGGAAUUGACGG
This 881-nucleotide ribosomal RNA is filed under the name uncultured bacterium. RNAcentral's name for it is "bacterial SSU rRNA". It matches the Rfam family "Bacterial small subunit ribosomal RNA", at positions 8 to 916 of the family's 1533-position model. The record is from RNAcentral.